UGGGGAAUAUUGCGCAAUGGGGGAAACCCUGACGCAGCGACGCCGCGUGGGUGAGGAAGGUUUUAGGAUCGUAAAGCCCUGUCAAGUGGGAAGAAGAAAGUGACGGUACCACUAAAGGAAGCACCGGCUAACUCCGUGCCAGCAGCCGCGGUAAUACGGAGGGUGCAAGCGUUAUUCGGAUUUAUUGGGCGUAAAGAGAGCGUAGGCGGUCUGUUAAGUCAGGGGUGAAAGCCCCAGGCUCAACCUGGGAAGUGCCUUUGAAACUGGCAGACUUGAGUACGAGAGAGGGUAGCGGAAUUCCAAGUGUAGAGGUGAAAUUCGUAGAUAUUUGGAGGAACACCGGUGGCGAAGGCGGCUACCUGGACCGAUACUGACGCUGAGGCUCGAAAGCGUGGGGAGCAAACA
This 405-nucleotide ribosomal RNA is filed under the name uncultured bacterium. RNAcentral's name for it is "bacterial SSU rRNA". It matches the Rfam family "Bacterial small subunit ribosomal RNA", at positions 355 to 774 of the family's 1533-position model. The record is from RNAcentral.